AUGGAAUCAGUAGAUGAUUAUACUGCAGCCCACAUUGGUGGCCACAGACUUAAGAUUUUUGCCCAGCGCCCGACUGAGGGCAUGCGUGGUGGCAUCCUUCUGCUAUGGGAUGAUGAGGUGGUCCAUUUGUCCAACGUCCACUUUCGAGCGUUCACCCUUUCAGCCACGGUUACUUUGUACCCCCAGAGCCCGGCUCCUAUUUCCUUCAAGCUAACCACGGUAUAUGGACCGACUAGAAGUAACCUCAAGGAUGCCUUCUUCGCCGAACUUGUCGCUGAAAAGCCACCCCCGGGUACCAUGUGGUUGGUCACAGGAGACUUCAACCAAAUUUAUCGGGCGCGAGAUAAAAAUCGUGCAAAUGUAGAUCGGAGCCGCAUUGUCAGGUUUCAAGAUGCUCUCAACUCCUGUGAGCUGAAAGAGAUUCAUCUCCAGAAUAGGAGAUUCACUUGGAGUAAUGGACAGAAUGAGCCCACCUUGAGCAAGUUAGAUAGUUUUUCCUGCAAUGAAGACUGGGACUUGGAGUUUGGCUCCCACAUCCUGCAUGCUUUAUCAUCCUCCCUUUCUGACCACUGUCCCCUUCUGCUUGCAUCCGCGAACAGCCCGAAGCACUUCAAAUGCUUCCUCUUUGAGAAUUUCCGGAUCAAGAUGUCAGUUUUUUUGGCAACUUUCCAAGGUGCGUGGAAUGAAGGCCACAACCAUACCGAGCUAUACCACAUCCACAAGCUCAAGAAAACUAGCAUCAGGCUAAAGGCUUGGAGCAAAUCCCUCUUCUCCAACAUGAAAGUCCAAUUACACAUGGCCCUGGAGGUCAUCCUCCGCCUUGAUAUUGCGCAAGAGUCUAGGUCUCUAAGCCCGGAGGAGAUCGAUCUUCGGAAGAGACUAAAGAGGAGGGUGGUUGGCCUGGAUGUGCUUGAAAAGGCCCGAAAACGACAAAUAUCUAGAAUAACAAACAUUAAAGAGGGGGACGAAAACACUAAGUUCUUUCACCUUCGAAUCAACCGCCGGCGAAGAAUUUUUUAUUCACCGCCUUAG
RNAcentral lists this ribosomal RNA (1032 nucleotides) under Triticum aestivum (bread wheat). RNAcentral's name for it is "partial small subunit ribosomal RNA". Lineage: Eukaryota; Viridiplantae; Streptophyta; Magnoliopsida; Poales; Poaceae. The record is from RNAcentral.